RNAcentral lists this ribosomal RNA (253 nucleotides) under uncultured bacterium. RNAcentral describes it as "partial 16S ribosomal RNA". It matches the Rfam family "Bacterial small subunit ribosomal RNA", at positions 524 to 776 of the family's 1533-position model. The record is from RNAcentral.
UACAGAGGGUGCGAGCGUUAAUCGGAAUUACUGGGCGUAAAGCGUGCGUAGACGGUUAUCUAAGUCGGAUGUGAAAGCCCCGGGCUCAACCUGGGAAUUGCAUUCGAGACUGAAUAGCUAGGGUGCGGUAGAGGGAAGCGGAAUUUCCGGUGUAGCGGUGAAAUGCGUAGAUAUCGGGAGGAACACCAGUGGCGAAGGCGACUACCUGGCCUGUUCUUGACGCUGAGGCGCGAAAGCUAGGGGAGCAAACGGG